GGUCAGCCCAUCGCAGUGGACCCACCGUCCCAUUGGCAAGCGAUGCCGCACAAUGCGCAGCCAUGUUCGCUUCACGGGGAACCCAGUCCCAUUUGCACUCCUCAAAACCAGUUGCUAGCUUUCGAAUGCGUAUCAGUAUUGGUUCAGUGAAUUGGCCAGGGAGAUACCAUGGAGAAGAGCAGAUGCUUCCGCUUCCGCAACUGAUCCACAGGUGGCUUUAGUGGCAGAUCCACUAAUACACAUCCCAGUUGAGUCUCUCACCACUACUCCCAACCCUGCCAUAGAAGGUGGUCUCCAGGCAGCAUCACAAUUUAUUUUAACAACAUCAUGAGGAGGGGUUACCCAAUGCGUCUGGGUACGCACUUCCCGAUUAGUAGCUGCAAACGGGAUUGGCACUCCCAUCUCUAGAUUGGGUAUCAUCAUUGCUGCAUGGAAAUCUGAAGCCAGGGAUACCGCAGAGGAGAUGGCCAAGUGUGGUGAUAAGGGCUUGGAUUGAUACACAAACAGGCAUCUGGCCUUCCAUAUGGCCCAGCAUAUGAAACUCAUCAAAGUAAGUACUCUGUUCCGAUUGCAAUCAUUGUGAUGUGUUCUUGCUGUCUUUAGGAACCAAACAUCCAAAGUUGUCAAUUUUUGUUUAUCCACACGUAAUCCUAGAGGAGAGCCAAACCAAACCCCCUCCACCCAUGGGCAAAGGAACAUGAAAGAAAAGAAAAGAGUUGAACAUGUAAGAACAGAAAAACAAGAAUUAGCCAAUGCAUGACUUGCUUGUCAGAGGUCUUAAUCAUCAUGACCACAAAAGGAAGCUUGCUUCGAUGAAUCCUGGUACAUACAUGACUAGAACUCCAGUUAAUUCUUUGGUGUAGUUCAGUUUUGGUGGUGUUAAGUUAUCUUAGGUCAUGAUAUUUAUAAGAGCAAGUCCACCCGUUGAGCUUGACAUGUCAAGACUAUUCACUGCUUUUUUGCCUUGUAUUUCC
This is a long non-coding RNA of Rosa chinensis, 974 nucleotides long. RefSeq lists it as uncharacterized. NCBI's taxonomy places the organism in Eukaryota, Viridiplantae, Streptophyta, Magnoliopsida, Rosales, Rosaceae. The record is from RefSeq and is a predicted model, not a curated record. The transcript is spliced from 3 exons.